RNAcentral lists this ribosomal RNA (233 nucleotides) under Arion fuscus. Its description in RNAcentral is "partial 16S ribosomal RNA". The record is from RNAcentral. Lineage: Eukaryota; Metazoa; Mollusca; Gastropoda; Stylommatophora; Arionidae.
UUUUUAAAACUUUAACUAGUAAGUAUUUAUGAAUUUUUUGUUGGGGCGACACAGUAGUACUUUAACCUACUUAGAUAUACAUAUUACGGGACUUUAUUGAAAACAUAUGAAUAUAACUACCUAAGGGAUAACAGCAUAAUUUUUUUUAUUAAGAUUGUGACCUCGAUGUUGGAUUAGGAAAUAGGUGUAUUAGUCAUAUACCUUAUAAUAUUCUGUUCGAAUAAAUUUUACCU